Molecule: small RNA, 605 nt
Filed under: Pan troglodytes (chimpanzee)
Lineage: Eukaryota; Metazoa; Chordata; Mammalia; Primates; Hominidae
Description: retained intron
Source: RNAcentral
CGGCUGGAGGCCAACCACGGGCUGCUGGUGGCGCGCGGGAAGCUCCACGUUCUGCUCUUCAAGACUCUGGCUGCGGAGGUAAAAGGUUUCCCUUGUGUAAUUAAGGAGUGAGUUUCGGGCUGCUGGGGGUAAGGGGCUGCCAGGAUCAGUGCUGUGUCCGUCACAUGCAGGAGGAGGGUGAAGUCCCAGCCAGCGCUUUCCAGAAGGCACCAGAGCCCUUGGGCCCGGCGGACCAGUCCGAGCUGGGCCCAGAGCAGCUGGAGGCCGAAGUUGGAGAGAGCUCGGACGAGGAGCCGGUGGAGUCCAGGGCCCAGCGGCUGCGGCGCACCGGAUUGCAGAAGGUACAGAGCCUCCGAAGGGCCCUUUCGGGCCGGAAAGGCCCUGCAGCGCCACCGCCCACCCCGGUCAAGCCGCCUCGCCUUGGGCCUGGCCGGAGCGCUGAAGCCCAGCCGGAAGCCCAGCCUGCGCUGGAGCCCACGCUGGAGCCAGAGCCUCCGCAGGACACCGAGGAAGAUCCCGGGAGACCUGGGGCUGCCGAAGAAGCUCUGCUCCAAAUGGAGAGUGUAGCCUGAGGGCUGGUGUUGCCUGCCUCCCCUGUGCUUGUG